GACGAACGCUGGCGGCAUGCCUAACACAUGCAAGUCGAACGGAGAUUAUUUCGGUAAUCUUAGUGGCGAACGGGUGAGUAACGCGUGGGCAACCUGCCCUCUAGAUGGGGACAACAUCCCGAAAGGGGUGCUAAUACCGAAUGUGACAGCAAUCUCGCAUGAGGAUGCUGUGAAAGAUGGCCUCUAUUUAUAAGCUAUCGCUAGAGGAUGGGCCUGCGUCUGAUUAGCUAGUUGGUGGGGUAACGGCCUACCAAGGCGAUGAUCAGUAGCCGGUCUGAGAGGAUGAACGGCCACAUUGGGGCUGAGACACGGCCCAGACUCCUACGGGAGGCAGCAGUGGGGAAUCUUCCGCAAUGGGCGAAAGCCUGACGGAGCAAUGCCGCGUGAGUGAUGAAGGAAUUCGUUCCGUAAAGCUCUUUUGUUUAUGACGAAUGUGCAGAUUGUGAACAAUGAUCUGUAAUGACGGUAGUAAACGAAUAAGCCACGGCUAACUACGUG
RNAcentral lists this ribosomal RNA (498 nucleotides) under uncultured bacterium. RNAcentral describes it as "partial 16S ribosomal RNA". It matches the Rfam family "Bacterial small subunit ribosomal RNA", at positions 28 to 507 of the family's 1533-position model. The record is from RNAcentral.